UACGUAGGGGGCAAGCGUUGUCCGGAAUUAUUGGGCGUAAAGAGCUCGUAGGCGGCUUGUCGCGUCGGCUGUGAAAACCCGCGGCUCAACUGUGGGCGGGCAGCUGAUACGGGCAGGCUGGAGUUCGGUAGGGGAGACUGGAAUUCCUGGUGUAGCGGUGAAAUGCGCAGAUAUCAGGAGGAACACCGGUGGCGAAGGCGGGUCUCUGGGCCGAUACUGACGCUGAGGAGCGAAAGCGUGGGGAGCGAACAGG
RNAcentral lists this ribosomal RNA (253 nucleotides) under uncultured bacterium. Its description in RNAcentral is "partial 16S ribosomal RNA". It matches the Rfam family "Bacterial small subunit ribosomal RNA", at positions 524 to 776 of the family's 1533-position model. The record is from RNAcentral.